This 380-nucleotide ribosomal RNA is filed under the name uncultured eukaryote. RNAcentral describes it as "partial 18S ribosomal RNA". It matches the Rfam family "Eukaryotic small subunit ribosomal RNA", at positions 592 to 976 of the family's 1831-position model. The record is from RNAcentral.
CAAUAGCGUAUAUUAAAGUUGUUGCAGUUAAAAAGCUCGUAGUUGGAUUUGUGGCGUACGGUGUGUUCCGGGCACUUGUUGUCUGAGUAACCUGCUGUUGCCAUCCUUGGGUGGAACCUGUGUGGCAUUAGGUUGUCGUGCAGGGGAUGCCCAUCAUUUACUGUGAAAAAAUUAGCGUGUUCAAAGCAGGCUUAUGCCGUUGAAUAUAUUAGCAUGGAAUAAUGAGAUAGGACUUUUUUGCUAUUUUGUUGGUUUGCGCAAAGAGGUAAUGAUUAAUAGGGACAGUUGGGGGUAUUCGUAUUCCAUUGUCAGAGGUGAAAUUCUUGGAUUUUUGGAAGACGAACUACUGCGAAAGCAUUUACCAAGGAUGUUUUCAUUAA